AUACGGAGGAUGCGAGCGUUAUCCGGAUUUAUUGGGUUUAAAGGGUGCGUAGGCUGUGCGUUAAGUCAGGGGUGAAAUGCCGUCGCUCAACGACGGAGCUGCCCUUGAUACUGGCGUGCUGGAGUACGGAUGCCGUUGAGGAAUGAGUGGUGUAGCGGUGAAAUGCUUAGAUAUCACUCAGAACACCGAUUGCGAAGGCAUCUGACGAAUCCGGCACUGAGGCGGAGGCACGAAAGCGGGGGGAUAGAAAAGGAUUAGAUACCCUGGUAUUCCACGCCGUAAACGAUGAUGACUAACCGUCGGCGAUAGACAGCCGGUGGCCAAGCGAAAGCGAUAAGUCAUCCACCUGGGGAGUACGUCGGCAACGAUGAAACUCAAAUGAAUUGACGGGG
RNAcentral lists this ribosomal RNA (392 nucleotides) under uncultured bacterium. RNAcentral describes it as "partial 16S ribosomal RNA". It matches the Rfam family "Bacterial small subunit ribosomal RNA", at positions 523 to 918 of the family's 1533-position model. The record is from RNAcentral.